GACGAACGCUGGCGGCGUGCCUAAUACAUGCAAGUCGAGCGCAGGAAGCCGUCUGAACCCUUCGGGGGGACGACGGUGGAAUGAGCGGCGGACGGGUGAGUAACACGUAAAGAACCUGCCCAUAGGUCUGGGAUAACCACGAGAAAUCGGGGCUAAUACCGGAUGUGUCAUCGGACCGCAUGGUCCGAUGAUGAAAGGCGCUCCGGCGUCGCCCAUGGAUGGCUUUGCGGUGCAUUAGCUAGUUGGUGAGGUAACGGCCCACCAAGGCGACGAGGCAUAGCCGACCUGAGAGGGUGAUCGGCCACACUGGGACUGAGACACGGCCCAGACUCCUACGGGAGGCAGCAGUAGGGAAUCUUCCACAAUGGACGAGAGUCUGAUGGAGCAACGCCGCGUGAACGAUGAAGGCUUUCGGGUCGUAAAGUUCUGUUGUAAGGGAAGAACAAGUGCCGCAGGCAAUGGCGGCACCUUGACGGUACCUUGCGAGAAAGCCACGGCUAACUACGUGCCAGCCGCCGCCGUAA
This 524-nucleotide ribosomal RNA is filed under the name uncultured bacterium. RNAcentral's name for it is "partial 16S ribosomal RNA". It matches the Rfam family "Bacterial small subunit ribosomal RNA", at positions 28 to 523 of the family's 1533-position model. The record is from RNAcentral.